Molecule: ribosomal RNA, 689 nt
Filed under: uncultured Lecanoraceae
Lineage: Eukaryota; Fungi; Ascomycota; Lecanoromycetes; Lecanorales
Description: eukaryotic LSU rRNA
Rfam family: Eukaryotic large subunit ribosomal RNA (bases 260-689)
Source: RNAcentral
UAGUGUGAAUGGACGAAUGACGUGAAUGCUGCGAAUGCUUUGAACGACACAUUGUGCGACCCUCUGGUAUGUCCGGGGGGCAUGCCUGUUCGAGCGUGCAUUACACCUCUCAAGCUCUGCUUGGUAUUGGGCUAUCGUCCCCUGUGGACGGGCCUGAAAAACAGUGGCGGUCCCGCCGGUACUCAAGCGCAGUUAAUUAUCUCCCGCUUUGGAGUCACCGUUUGGACCCGCCAGACAACCCUCAAUUUAUUUCAAUGGUUGACCUCGGAUCAGGUAGGGAUACCCGCUGAACUUAAGCAUAUCAAUAAGCGGAGGAAAAGAAACCAACAGGGAUUGCCUCAGUAACGGCGAGUGAAGCGGCAACAGCUCAAAUUUGAAAUCUGGCUUUCGGGCCCGAGUUGUAAUUUGUAGAGGGGAUUUCGGAGGCGGCGCCGGCCUAAGUUCCUUGGAACAGGGCGUCAUAGAGGGUGAGAAUCCCGUACGUGGCCGGCGGUCAAUUCCAUGUGAAACCCCUUCGACGAGUCGAGUUGUUUGGGAAUGCAGCUCAAAAUGGGUGGUAAAUCUCAUCUAAAGCUAAAUACCGGCCAGAGACCGAUAGCGCACAAGUAGAGUGAUCGAAAGAUGAUAAGCACUUUGGAGAGAGAGUUAAAAAGUACGUGAAAUUGUGGAUAGGGAACCCGGAGAGAAAA